Brassica rapa (field mustard) is the source of this 1080-nucleotide long non-coding RNA. RefSeq lists it as uncharacterized. NCBI's taxonomy places the organism in Eukaryota, Viridiplantae, Streptophyta, Magnoliopsida, Brassicales, Brassicaceae. The record is from RefSeq and is a predicted model, not a curated record.
UUUUCAUUUUUCAGACAAUGUUAAUGGAUUUUUCCGAUGAGGCCGGUUUUGGUUAUCGUUUCAAUGACGACGGCUGCUUCAAGAAAAAGGCUCUCCAUUGACCAAUGACUCUCCCUUCCUUGUUUUAAAAAAAAAAGAAGAGGCGAGAGCCACUCAACAAUGCCUUUUUUACAAGAAACCUCCAGGUUUAUCCAUCCAUUGGAGCUAGAGGAGGAAUACACUUUAUUAGAGGGAAAGCUAAGCUAAUAAUUGAUUUGCCCAGGUGCUGCUAGAUGGAACAUUUUAUCUUCAAGAUAUUAGUAACAAGAAUUUUCAAAUCUUACUACUUAUGAUCAGAAUCCCUGUUAAGCAAUGUUGUGAGAGGAGUCAAAACUCAAAAGGGUUCUUAUAGCAUUGGCAAAGAAUGUGUUUAUCUAGCUUUUGUUCUUAGCCAUCUUUUCUGGACGUCAACCUCGUGGGGGGUAAAGAUAUUUUUGCACAUGCUUCAAGAAGACCAAUACUGCAAUCUUUUGGUUGGGAUGAUAUUCCAGAGAAUCUUUGUACAGAUGGGAAAUCCACAUGUCUUUCAUGUUCUGCCUUAUGUCAGCACUGAGAGUUGAAUGAAGUAUUUAUCUCAAAACCAAGAUGUUUAAGUACUAUUUUAUCGUUCUUUAAGUCAACCUCUCAUGAGAAGACAACUCCAAAGAUAGCUUCCUAUUCUUGCCUCAUGGUUGUAGCUUUUGUUCUUCCGCAGAGGAACCCCAAAACCAAAUUUGUAAAAAGAAUAUUUUUUACUAAAUUGUCUAUAGCCUAUAAAAAAUCUCAGGACCCUAGAGAGUCACUAGUGGAGCACGAAACAGCAGCAUAUCUCGUAGCCUGCUCGGUUGUCUAAAAUGUUCCCAGCCAGUGCCAUUUCUGUUGUGCAAAGAUUCUUGAUCUCAGUUCCAUUGGUCAGUGAAUGACCACAACCUUAAAUCUUGUAUGUUUGGUUGUUUUAGAGAGCAUCUAAGACAAUGGAUCCUGUUAGUAACAGCUUAGAAAGUAGUUUCUCUAUAUAUGUCUGUUUGGGAAUCACAUUCAAGUCACAUGCUAAACUUGGAA